This 351-nucleotide ribosomal RNA is filed under the name Triticum aestivum (bread wheat). RNAcentral describes it as "partial small subunit ribosomal RNA". Lineage: Eukaryota; Viridiplantae; Streptophyta; Magnoliopsida; Poales; Poaceae. The record is from RNAcentral.
AUGAUGUCGUUCGCCAGCGCCACCUCGUCGGAGCCACCGGCCCCUUCCUUGAGGGUAACGAAGGCACAGGGCGACUCCCCCCAGCGCUCGUCGGCCCUGGCGACCACCGAGGCCUCCAGGACCGCCGGGUGCAUGUACACCACCUUCUCCACCUCCAGGGUGCUGAUGUUCUCCCCGCCGGAGAUGAUGAUGUCCUUCAUCCGGUCCUUGACUUCGAUGUACCCGUCGGGGUGCUUCACGCCGAGGUCGCCGGAGUGGUACCAGCCGUGCGCGAACGCCUCCGCGUUGGCCUUGGGGUUCUUCAGGUACCCCUUCAUCACGGCGUUGCCCCUCAUCACGAUCUCCCCGUAG